Molecule: ribosomal RNA, 1362 nt
Filed under: Pseudarthrobacter oxydans
Lineage: Bacteria; Bacillati; Actinomycetota; Actinomycetes; Micrococcales; Micrococcaceae
Description: bacterial SSU rRNA
Rfam family: Bacterial small subunit ribosomal RNA
Source: RNAcentral
UGCAAGUCGUAACAAGGUAACCAGUUGUGGGGGGAUUAGUGGCGAACGGGUGAGUAACACGUGAGUAACCUGCCCUUAACUCUGGGAUAAGCCUGGGAAACUGGGUCUAAUACCGGAUAUGACUCCUCAUCGCAUGGUGGGGGGUGGAAAGCUUUUUGUGGUUUUGGAUGGACUCGCGGCCUAUCAGCUUGUUGGUGAGGUAAUGGCUUACCAAGGCGACGACGGGUAGCCGGCCUGAGAGGGUGACCGGCCACACUGGGACUGAGACACGGCCCAGACUCCUACGGGAGGCAGCAGUGGGGAAUAUUGCACAAUGGGCGCAAGCCUGAUGCAGCGACGCCGCGUGAGGGAUGACGGCCUUCGGGUUGUAAACCUCUUUCAGUAGGGAAGAAGCGAAAGUGACGGUACCUGCAGAAGAAGCGCCGGCUAACUACGUGCCAGCAGCCGCGGUAAUACGUAGGGCGCAAGCGUUAUCCGGAAUUAUUGGGCGUAAAGAGCUCGUAGGCGGUUUGUCGCGUCUGCCGUGAAAGUCCGGGGCUCAACUCCGGAUCUGCGGUGGGUACGGGCAGACUAGAGUGAUGUAGGGGAGACUGGAAUUCCUGGUGUAGCGGUGAAAUGCGCAGAUAUCAGGAGGAACACCGAUGGCGAAGGCAGGUCUCUGGGCAUUAACUGACGCUGAGGAGCGAAAGCAUGGGGAGCGAACAGGAUUAGAUACCCUGGUAGUCCAUGCCGUAAACGUUGGGCACUAGGUGUGGGGGGACAUUCCACGUUUUCCGCGCCGUAGCUAACGCAUUAAGUGCCCCGCCUGGGGAGUACGGCCGCAAGGCUAAAACUCAAAGGAAUUGACGGGGGCCCGCACAAGCGGCGGAGCAUGCGGAUUAAUUCGAUGCAACGCGAAGAACCUUACCAAGGCUUGACAUGAACCGGUAAUGCCUGGAGACAGGUGCCCCGCUUGCGGUCGGUUUACAGGUGGUGCAUGGUUGUCGUCAGCUCGUGUCGUGAGAUGUUGGGUUAAGUCCCGCAACGAGCGCAACCCUCGUUCUAUGUUGCCAGCACGUGAUGGUGGGGACUCAUAGGAGACUGCCGGGGUCAACUCGGAGGAAGGUGGGGACGACGUCAAAUCAUCAUGCCCCUUAUGUCUUGGGCUUCACGCAUGCUACAAUGGCCGGUACAAAGGGUUGCGAUACUGUGAGGUGGAGCUAAUCCCAAAAAGCCGGUCUCAGUUCGGAUUGGGGUCUGCAACUCGACCCCAUGAAGUCGGAGUCGCUAGUAAUCGCAGAUCAGCAACGCUGCGGUGAAUACGUUCCCGGGCCUUGUACACACCGCCCGUCAAGUCACGAAAGUUGGUAACACCCGAAGCCG